Molecule: unclassified non-coding RNA, 230 nt
Filed under: plant metagenome
Description: partial contains small subunit ribosomal RNA, internal transcribed spacer 1, and 5.8S ribosomal RNA
Rfam family: Eukaryotic small subunit ribosomal RNA (bases 1-51)
Source: RNAcentral
GGAAAAAGUCGUAACAAGGUUUCCGUAGGUGAACCUGCGGAAGGAUCAUUCAUAAUAAAGUGUUUUAUGGCACUUUUUAAAAAUCCAUAUCCACCUUGUGUGCAAUGUUAGAUCUCGUCAAUCUUGGCGAGAUUUUUAUACAUCAACUCAUUCUUUAACUAAUUUGUCUGAAAAAUAUUAUGAAUACUUAAUUCAAAAUACAACUCUCAACAACGGAUCUCUUGGCUCUC